Molecule: ribosomal RNA, 506 nt
Filed under: uncultured bacterium
Lineage: Bacteria
Description: partial 16S ribosomal RNA
Rfam family: Bacterial small subunit ribosomal RNA
Source: RNAcentral
GACGAACGCUGGCGGCGUGCCUAAUACAUGCAAGUCGAACGCUUCUUUCCUCCCGAGUGCUUGCACUCAAUUGGAAAGAGGAGUGGCGGACGGGUGAGUAACACGCGGGUAACCUACCCAUCAGAGGGGGAUAACACUUGGAAACAGGUGCUAAUACCGCAUAACAGUUUAUGCCGCAUGGCAUAAGAGUGAAAGGCGCUUUCGGGUGUCGCUGAUGGAUGGACCCGCGGUGCAUUAGCUAGUUGGUGAGGUAACGGCUCACCAAGGCCACGAUGCAUAGCCGACCUGAGAGGGUGAUCGGCCACACUGGGACUGAGACACGGCCCAGACUCCUACGGGAGGCAGCAGUAGGGAAUCUUCGGCAAUGGACGAAAGUCUGACCGAGCAACGCCGCGUGAGUGAAGAAGGUUUUCGGAUCGUAAAACUCUGUUGUUAGAGAAGAACAAGGACGUUAGUAACUGAACGUCCCCUGACGGUAUCUAACCAGAAAGCCACGGCUAACUACG